RNAcentral lists this long non-coding RNA (518 nucleotides) under Gopherus agassizii (Agassiz's desert tortoise). RNAcentral describes it as "lncRNA (ENSGAGG00000019536.1)". The record is from RNAcentral. Lineage: Eukaryota; Metazoa; Chordata; Testudines; Testudinidae.
GGGAUCCACUCUGAAUCUAACUGUUUAUGAAUUUGCAACAUCCGAGCCUCGUCUCAUCUCUUCAAAAUCCUCCAGUACUGCUCUGAUCUGCAGGUUUCCUGAUGGCAGCACUGGGGAAGCUGUUGGCCACUUCGGGAGAGCCCAGGUAGACCUGAGGACAAAUGGACUGGGAGCUCCUGAAGAAGACUGAGAGCCUGCUCCUAGAAGAGAUGGGACAGUGGCCCCAAGACCAAGCUUAUGUUUUGAGUCUGCAAGCCCCCUUCAUCUAGCNGGCCCCAAGACCAAGCUUAUGUUUUGAGUCUGCAAGCCCCCUUCAUCUGGCAGAUGANCAUCUAGCAGAUGAAGAAAGAAGAUUGAGACCUGUUCUUUGGUCCCCACCAGGCUGGUGUCUGGGACAAGGCCUGUUAGCUGCAAGCUUGUUCCUGUUUCCUCUUUCAGUGUCUAUGCCUUCCCCCUUUGAAUGUUUAUCCCCUUGAUUCUCCCAUCUCUGCCACCUGAGGGAUGACCCUAUCUGUACU